Molecule: ribosomal RNA, 433 nt
Filed under: uncultured bacterium
Lineage: Bacteria
Description: partial 16S ribosomal RNA
Rfam family: Bacterial small subunit ribosomal RNA
Source: RNAcentral
AACGAACGCUGGCGGCAGGCCUAACACAUGCAAGUCGAGCGAGGACUUCGGUCCUAGCGGCGGACGGGGGAGGAACGCGUGGGAACGUGCCCUUUGCCUCGGAAUACCCCUGGGAAACUGGGAGUAAUACAGGAAGAGCUCCUUGGGGGCAAGAUUCAUCGGCGAAGGAUCGGCCCGCGUUGGAUUAGGUAGUUGGUGGGGUAAUGGCCUACCAAGCCGACGAUCCAUAGCUGGGUUGAGAGGAUGAGCAGCCACACUGGGACUGGGACACGGCCCAGACUCUUACGGGAUGCAGCAGUGGGGGAUCCUAGACAACGGGGGGAACCCUGAACGAGUCAUGCCGCGUGAGCGAUGAAGGCCUUAGGGUUGUAAAGCUCUUUCAGCUGGGAAGAUAAUGACGGUACCAGCAGAAGAAGCCCCGGCUAACUCCGUG